This 409-nucleotide ribosomal RNA is filed under the name uncultured bacterium. RNAcentral describes it as "bacterial SSU rRNA". It matches the Rfam family "Bacterial small subunit ribosomal RNA", at positions 509 to 916 of the family's 1533-position model. The record is from RNAcentral.
CAGCAGCCGCGGUAAUACAGAGGUGGCAAGCGUUGUUCGGAAUUACUGGGCGUAAAGGGCGCGUAGGCGGCCAUCUAAGUCAGACGUGAAAUCCCCCGGCUUAACCUGGGAACUGCGUCUGAUACUGGGAGGCUAGAGUUUGGGAGAGGGAUGUAGAAUUCCAGGUGUAGCGGUGAAAUGCGUAGAUAUCUGGAGGAAUACCGGUGGCGAAGGCGGCAUCCUGGACCAAUACUGACGCUGAGGCGCGAAAGCUAGGGGAGCAAACGGGAUUAGAUACCCCGGUAGUCCUAGCCCUAAACGAUGAAUACUUGGUGUGGCGGGUAUCGAUCCCUGCCGUGCCGAAGCUAACGCAUUAAGUAUUCCGCCUGGGGAGUACGGUCGCAAGGUUAAAACUUAAAGGAAUUGACGG